Molecule: ribosomal RNA, 242 nt
Filed under: uncultured bacterium
Lineage: Bacteria
Description: partial 16S ribosomal RNA
Rfam family: Bacterial small subunit ribosomal RNA
Source: RNAcentral
UAACACGUGGAUAAUCUGCCCUGCACAGGGGGACAACAGCUAGAAAUGGCUGCUAGUACCGCAUAAGCCUACAGCCUCGCAUGAGGGAGUAGGAAAAGAAAUUCGGUGCAGGAUGAGUCCGCGUCUGAUUAGCUAGUUGGAGGGGUAAAAGCCCACCAAGGCAACGAUCAGUAGCCGGCCUGAGAGGGCGACCGGCCACAUUGGGACUGAGACACGGCCCAAACUCCUACGGGAGGCAGCAG